GUGAACGCUGGCGGUAGGCCUAACACAUGCAAGUCGAACGGCAGCACAGUAAGAGCUUGCUCUUACGGGUGGCGAGUGGCGGACGGGUGAGGAAUACAUCGGAAUCUACUUUUUCGUGGGGGAUAACGUAGGGAAACUUACGCUAAUACCGCAUACUACCUACGGGUGAAAGCAGGGGAUCUUCGGACCUUGCGCGAUUGAAUGAGCCGAUGUCGGAUUAGCUAGUUGGCGGGGUAAAGGCCCACCAAGGCGACGAUCCGUAGAUGGUCUGAGAGGAUGAUCAGCCAAACUGGAACUGAGACACGGUCCAGACUCCUACGGGAGGCAGCAGUGGGGAAUAUUGGACAAUGGGCGAAAGCCUGAUCAAGCAAUACCGCGUGGGUGAAGAAGGCCUUCGGGUUGUAAAGCCCUUUUGUUGGGAAAGAAAAGCAGCAGGUUAAUACCCCGAUGUUCUGACGGUACCCAAAGAAUAAGCACCGGCUAACUUCGUG
RNAcentral lists this ribosomal RNA (491 nucleotides) under uncultured bacterium. RNAcentral's name for it is "partial 16S ribosomal RNA". It matches the Rfam family "Bacterial small subunit ribosomal RNA", at positions 29 to 507 of the family's 1533-position model. The record is from RNAcentral.